CAACAAGCCAUUCUAAGACAAGCAUCACAAUUCUAGGUGGCAGAGCUGGAUCACAAAACUGUACAACGUGCUUUUCAAGCUGGCAAAACAGUUCAGUGUGUAAAGUCUGACGGCGAUCUGGAUGUCUCAGUCACCAGGACCACACUGGGCAUCUUCCAAGACUGGCUGGAUAGGCUGCAGUAUGGCUGCUUCCGUGGCCACUGAAGAAGAUUCCAGAAAAGAAGUGGACCGAAGUUCACGGUCAUCUUCAGCUACAGAGAAAUUGAAGCCAGCCUGGGCUACAUGAGCUCCUGUCUCCAAAAGAGAAGAAAAAGACAAAAAACCAGCUUCACACUUCAACAGAUCUCACAGACCCUCUCUAUUUCUCUUGCUUUGCCUAAAAGGUUUCCAGAAACUCACCUUUCUGCUCCACCCACCCACAAUCAAUCAAUCAAUCA
This is a long non-coding RNA of Peromyscus eremicus (cactus mouse), 437 nucleotides long. RefSeq lists it as uncharacterized. The transcript is spliced from 3 exons. The record is from RefSeq and is a predicted model, not a curated record. NCBI's taxonomy places the organism in Eukaryota, Metazoa, Chordata, Mammalia, Rodentia, Cricetidae.